CUCUACGGCCCUGCUGCCCUGAACAAGCCUGAUCCCGUCUGAUCUCAGAAGCCAAGCAAGGUGGGGCCUGGCUAGUACUUGGAUGGGAGACCACCUAGGAAGACCAGGUGCUGUAGGCG
RNAcentral lists this ribosomal RNA (119 nucleotides) under Pteropus vampyrus (large flying fox). Lineage: Eukaryota; Metazoa; Chordata; Mammalia; Chiroptera; Pteropodidae. The record is from RNAcentral.